RNAcentral lists this ribosomal RNA (254 nucleotides) under uncultured bacterium. Its description in RNAcentral is "partial 16S ribosomal RNA". It matches the Rfam family "Bacterial small subunit ribosomal RNA", at positions 524 to 776 of the family's 1533-position model. The record is from RNAcentral.
UACAGAGGGUGCAAGCGUUAAUCGGAAUUAUUGGGCGUAAAGAGCUCGUAGGUGGUUCGGUAAGUCGGGUGUUAAACCCCCAGGCUCAACCUGGGGACGCCACUCGAUACUGCUGUGACUAGGGUCCGGUAGGGGAGCGUGGAAUUCCUGGUGUAGCGGUGAAAUGCGCAGAUAUCAGGAGGAACACCAGCGGCGAAGGCGGCGCUCUGGGCCGGUACUGACACUGAGGAGCGAAAGCGUGGGUAGCAAACAGG